Molecule: RNA transcript, 1694 nt
Organism: Coffea arabica (coffee)
Lineage: Eukaryota; Viridiplantae; Streptophyta; Magnoliopsida; Gentianales; Rubiaceae
Gene name: thylakoid membrane protein TERC, chloroplastic
Source: RefSeq, a predicted model, not a curated record
UGCCAAAGACUAAUGAAAUCCAAGAAGGAUAUGCUGCUUUUGGCUGUACUUCCACGCAGUUAAGCUGGAAAAGACUACCGUUGGGCAGUGGAAGGGGGACAAUUUCAUCACAAAACAAAAAGGCGGAGGCAAUGAAAAUGGCAUCCAUUGUUGUCUUAGCUCCAGUAAUGCUGGAAUUGGGAUUUCUCAGAGCACCGCCAGUCCCUAUUCCCCCAAUUACUCGCCCAAGAUGGGUUCCGUCGUUACAGUUUACCGCUUCUUCCUCACGAUCUCAUCUCUUAUUUUCAGCAGGCGGGUACAAUAAUGGAAGGUGGUUCUAUCCAGCAAUUGCCUGCACCAGAAAAACCCAACAGGAGGAAAGUUCGUCUAUUUCUGAGGGGGAGACUGGAAGUGCACCAUCUAGAAAUGACAUAAAUGAUGUAAAGAAAUCUCACAAUAUUUCUUCUGAUGGUAAUUCACAACGAGAGGCACAAAAACCUGAAAAUUAUGUCUCUUCUGUCAGAACUGUUGCUUUAUGUGUGUUCUCAGCAGUGGCAUUUGGUGUUGCUUUAGGAUUCAAAGAUGGAGUUGACAAGGCAUCUGAGUUUUUUGCUGGGUACUUACUGGAGCAAAGUUUGUCAGUUGACAAUCUGUUUGUCUUUGUUUUGAUCUUCAAGUACUUCAAAGUUCCGCUCAUGUAUCAGAAUCGGGUGCUGUCCUACGGUAUUGCUGGUGCUAUAUUCUUCAGAUUGUCGCUGAUACUUCUUGGAACAGCCACACUUCAGAGGUUCGAGGUGGUAAACCUACUGUUGGCUGCAAUACUAUUGUACUCCGCGUUCAAGCUGUUUGCAGAGGAAGAGGAAGAUAGUGAUCUAUCUGAUAAUUUCAUAGUGAAGACAUGCCAGAAAUUCAUCCCUGUAACUUCAAAUUAUGAUGGGAACCGAUUUCUGACAAUUCAGGAUGGCGCGUGGAAAGCUACUCCUUUGCUUCUGACCGUAGCUGUUAUUGAACUCAGUGAUAUUGCAUUCGCAGUCGAUUCAAUACCAGCAGUUUUUGGAGUAACAAGAGACCCUUUUAUAGUAUUCACAUCCAACCUUUUUGCCAUUCUAGAUUUUGAGGUUAUAGCUCCCAUAUCAGUGAUGAAGAGUCACCAAGUUAUGACAUUUUUCUUUAAAGUCUCAUCUCUGUGAUCUAAUCGCAUGAGAUGAGAUAUGCGCCAUGUCUACCGAGGACUAUGACCUUUAUCUGCUUUUUGCAGGUUUAAGAUCAUUAUAUUCACUCAUUUCAGAAAGUAUGGCGGAAUUGGACUAUUUACAGCCUGCCAUUGGUGUUGUUUUGAGCUUUAUUGGAUUCAAGAUGAUCCUUGACUUCUUUGGUUACCAUGUAUCAACCGAGGUUUCGCUGGGCUUUGUUGCUACAUCGCUCAGUGCCGGAGUGUUGUUGAGUCUGCUGAAGAAGACCGAGUAGGGAGGGUGAAAAUAGAACAGCGAGAUAGUGUGAUUGCGUAGAUGUGUUGGACGUGGGUUCUGCAGCCUUUCUUGUAGAUCAGAUGAACGCUGAAAAAUUUUGAUGCUGAUCAUACAUUUACAACACUAGUUCACAAUGAAAAAUGCAAAUCAUCUAUAAUUUGUUAAAGAAUGAGAUUUCGUGUAUAAAAAUAAAUUUGUUGGUGGAUUAAACUCCUUAAAUCAUUGGAUUUGUACUUGUAGUCAUCA